RNAcentral lists this unclassified non-coding RNA (240 nucleotides) under soil metagenome. RNAcentral describes it as "partial contains 5.8S ribosomal RNA, internal transcribed spacer 2, and large subunit ribosomal RNA". The record is from RNAcentral.
AACACUGUUAACCUGCGGUACCUGCGGAGGGAUCAUUAAAGAGUUUAACUACUCAAACCAUUGUGAACCUUACCUCAACCGUUGCUUCGGCGGGCGGGCCCGGGCCAAGCCCGGCGCCCCCCCGGCCCCUCGCGGGCGCCCGCCGGAGGUUAACCGAACCCUUGAAUUGUAUGGCCUCUCUGAGUCUUCUGUACUGAAUAAGUCAAAACUUUUAACAAUGGAUCUCAGAUCGGAAGAGCA